UACGAAGGGGGCUAGCGUUGCUCGGAAUCACUGGGCGUAAAGGGUGCGUAGGCGGGUCUUUAAGUCAGGGGUGAAAUCCUGGAGCUCAACUCCAGAACUGCCCUUGAUACUGAAGGUCUUGAGUUCGGGAGAGGUGAGUGGAACUGCGAGUGUAGAGGUGAAAUUCGUAGAUAUUCGCAAGAACACCAGUGGCGAAGGCGGCUCACUGGCCCGAUACUGACGCUGAGGUGCGAAAGCGUGGGGAGCAAACAGG
Molecule: ribosomal RNA, 253 nt
Filed under: uncultured bacterium
Lineage: Bacteria
Description: partial 16S ribosomal RNA
Rfam family: Bacterial small subunit ribosomal RNA
Source: RNAcentral